GACGAACGCUGGCGGCGUGCUUAACACAUGCAAGUCGAACGGAAAGGCCCUGCUUUUGUGGGGUGCUCGAGUGGCGAACGGGUGAGUAACACGUGAGUAACCUGCCCUUGACUUUGGGAUAACUUCAGGAAACUGGGGCUAAUACCGGAUAGGAGCUCCUGCUGCAUGGUGGGGGUUGGAAAGUUUCGGCGGUUGGGGAUGGACUCGCGGCUUAUCAGCUUGUUGGUGGGGUAGUGGCUUACCAAGGCUUUGACGGGUAGCCGGCCUGAGAGGGUGACCGGGCACAAUGGGACUGAGAUACGGGCCAGAAUCCUACGGGAGGGAAGAGGGGGGAAUAUUGGAAAAAGGGGCGAAGGCCGAUGGAACAACCGCCGGGGGGGGAUGACGGCCUUCGGGUUGUAAACCGCUUUCGCCUGUGACGAAGCGUGAGUGACGGUAAUGGGUAAAGAAGCACCGGCUAACUACGUG
RNAcentral lists this ribosomal RNA (468 nucleotides) under uncultured bacterium. RNAcentral's name for it is "partial 16S ribosomal RNA". It matches the Rfam family "Bacterial small subunit ribosomal RNA", at positions 28 to 507 of the family's 1533-position model. The record is from RNAcentral.